Molecule: long non-coding RNA, 271 nt
Filed under: Elaeis guineensis (African oil palm)
Lineage: Eukaryota; Viridiplantae; Streptophyta; Magnoliopsida; Arecales; Arecaceae
Description: long non-coding RNA (EGUI_LNC059580)
Source: RNAcentral
UCUUUAUGACCUCUACUAGGAUCUCUUUAGAAACUCUUUCCCAAAAGAUCUCACCACAUACAAAUUAGAUUUUAUAUUCAACACACGAAUAAUCUGAUUUUUGGACAAGCAUCUCAUGCUUUCCAUUUUCUUUCUUCCCUUUCUUUCUAUUUUUUUCUCCCUUUUUUCUUUAUCUUUAUCCCAAAUUUUUUUCUCUUUUUUCUCUUAUUCCCACACCUAAUCUCAGCUAAAAUUGGCAUGUUGGACCAAGGUGUAGCACCCCCUUUAAAAU